Piliocolobus tephrosceles (Ugandan red Colobus) is the source of this 1645-nucleotide long non-coding RNA. Lineage: Eukaryota; Metazoa; Chordata; Mammalia; Primates; Cercopithecidae. The record is from Ensembl.
UAUUAUGCACAGAGAUUUAAAACCAUCCAAUAUUUUUAUAUGUGACAAUGGUAUUGUUAAAAUUGGUGAUUUCGGUUUAGCUUCUUAUGACAACAACCUGUAUUCCCAGAAUAACUGUUUUAUGUGUUUGCAUCAAAGAAAUAAAAACUCUAACAAUAGUAGAAGUGCAUGCAACAAUAAACCUGUUUGUAGUAAACGUAUUAUUCGUAAAAUCGAAAUAUGCGACCAUAAUUUGUGCGGACACACCUUUAAGCCCGAAAAAAAAAUAAGGUGUUAGACCUGAAUAAAGCUACUACAAAUAAUGGUAUAUCUAUUUUUAAUUUGAUGGAUACAGACGAAUUAUCUGGUUAUGUAGGGUUGGAAAGGGAAAAGGAAAGGGAAAAAGAAAGGGUAAAAAAAAGGGUAAAAAAAAGGGAAAAAGAAAGGGAAAAAGAAAGGGAAAAAGAAAGGGAAAAAAGAGAGAGUGUUAUCACUAAUGCGACUAGUAGUACAACAGACACAGUCGCUACUACUACCACAGUUGCUACUACCACAACUGCCACCACUGCUACUAUAACAGAUGCAACAGCUAAAGUCGAUAGCACUGCUGCUACUAUUACAAGUAGCGGUGACAACAAUAUUAGCCAACCCUGCCACAUGAAUAAAUAUGAAACAAAAAAUAAGCCACAUAUUAACGAUAUUAAAUUUACUAAUAAAACAGAUGUUAUACAUAAAAUGUCAUUAGACUCUUGUUUUACUAUUUUUCCCCGCACAUCGCAUUUAUUACCUCUUGUCAGCACUAACACAACAUGUGUUACUAAUAUCCUUUCUUUUCAGCCAAUAAUGCAUGAGUCAAUUGAAAAAAAUAUUACUAACGUGUAUAAAAUAAUAUAUGAUCAUUUAUUCAGGUAUAUAAAAAUGUAUAAUAACAUAAAAAAGAAAAACAAAAUAACGGAUACUACUACCACUACCACUACCACUACUACUACCACUACCACUACUACUACUACUACUACUACUACGAAUAGUAACAAUAUUACUACAUUAGAAAAUGAAAAAACAGGAAGUAAGCAUAUGUUCUGGUAUAAUUUUGAAAAAAAUAAUGAUUGCACAUAUAUAUGUAAUUUGGAUUAUAAAAUGUUUAAACAGUUGUUGACGAUUUUUUUUUAUUUUUUUAUAAACACAACUGUUAAUAUUUACACUAGGAAGGUAUCCAAUAUUGGUAAUGUGCAUAAUAUAAUUAGCCUAAUAAAUGAGUUAAAAAAAAGAUACUAUAAUAAUCAUGAUAAUAACACUUAUCAAAUAAUUGAAGAUGAAAAUAAAAUAAAAAGUAGUAAUUGGAAAAAAAGAGUCUACACUACUAUCAAAGAAACUUAUAGUUGUUAUAAAAAUAAAAAAAAAAGCAAUUUUGCAUACUGUGUAAAAAAAGAUGCACUAUAUUCAUUUAAAAAGGAAAAAAAGGAAAGAGAGAAAAUGUAUGAACAACAGCAUAGCGGUAAGAAUGGGCAUAAAAACGAACGUACAGAACUGUGCGAACACAAACACACAAAAAGACAGAAGGAAAAAAACAAAUUAGUAAAGGAACUUUUUUUUAUGUAUAAAUGAAAACUUUAAUGAUAAUAAUAACAGCUUUCAUGUGAAUAAAAAUAAUGUAAAUAUAAAAACA